AGUGGCGGAUGGGUGAGUAACACGUGGGGAACCUGCCCCUAAGUCUGGGAUACCAUUUGGAAACAGGUGCUAAUACCGGAUAAUAAAGCAGAUCGCAUGAUCAGCUUUUGAAAGGCGGCGUAAGCUGUCGCUAAGGGAUGGCCCCGCGGUGCAUUAGCUAGUUGGUAAGGUAACGGCUUACCAUGGCGACGAUGCAUAGCCGGGUUGAGAGACUGAUCGGCCACAUUGGGACUGAGACACGGCCCAAACUCCUACGGGAGGCAGCAGUAGGGAAUCUUCCACAAUGGACGCAAGUCUGAUGGAGCAACGCCGCGUGAGUGAAGAAGGUUUUCGGAUCGUAAAGCUCUGUUGUUGGUGAAGAAGGAUAGAGGUAGUAACUGGCCUUUAUUUGACGGUAAUCAACCAGAAAGUCACGGCUAACUACGUGCCAGCAGCCGCGGUAAUACGUAGGUGGCAAGCGUUGUCCGGAUUUAUUGGGCGUAAGGCGAGCGCAGGCGGAAAAAUAAGUCUAAUGUGAAAGCCCUCGGCUUAACCGAGGAACUGCAUCGGAAACUGUUUUUCUUGAGUGCAGAAGAGGAGAGUGGAACUCCAUGUGUAGCGGUGGAAUGCGUAGAUAUAUGGAAGAACACCAGUGGCGAAGGCGGCUCUCUGGUCUGCAACUGACGCUGAGGCUCGAAAGCAUGGGUAGCGAACAGGAUUAGAUACCCUGGUAGUCCAUGCCGUAAACGAUGAGUGCUAAGUGU
RNAcentral lists this ribosomal RNA (743 nucleotides) under uncultured bacterium. RNAcentral describes it as "bacterial SSU rRNA". It matches the Rfam family "Bacterial small subunit ribosomal RNA", at positions 94 to 823 of the family's 1533-position model. The record is from RNAcentral.